This 131-nucleotide small nucleolar RNA is filed under the name Chinchilla lanigera (long-tailed chinchilla). Its description in RNAcentral is "Small nucleolar RNA SNORA70 (ENSCLAG00000019532.1)". It matches the Rfam family "Small nucleolar RNA SNORA70". Rfam says of the family: snoRNA U70 seems to be exclusive to mammals and is a member of the H/ACA class of snoRNA which contain H (ANANNA) and ACA box motifs. H/ACA box snoRNAs are involved in the conversion of uridines to pseudouridines (5-ribosyluracil) a constituent of structural RNAs (transfer, ribosomal, small nuclear, and small nucleolar). The record is from Rfam by way of RNAcentral. Lineage: Eukaryota; Metazoa; Chordata; Mammalia; Rodentia; Chinchillidae.
CUGCAGUCAACUAAACUGACUGGGUUCCUUGCUGGUGGGUGCCCGGUGUGCAGCGGCUGUGCACAUCAAGUUCCUCGCUAGUAUAUAUAGCUUGUUGCUUAUAUGGGUUGCCCUAAGCAACCAAGACAUUG